AUUGAACGCUGGCGGCAGGCCUAACACAUGCAAGUCGAGCGGAUGACGGGAGCUUGCUCCUUGAUUCAGCGGCGGACGGGUGAGUAAUGCCUAGGAAUCUGCCUGGUAGUGGGGGACAACGUUUCGAAAGGGACGCUAAUACCGCAUACGUCCUACGAGAGAAAGCAGGGGACCUUCGGGCCUUGCGCUAUCAGAUGAGCCUAGGUCGGAUUAGCUAGUUGGUGGGGUAAUGGCUCACCAAGGCGACGAUCCGUAACUGGUCUGAGAGGAUGAGCAGUCACACUGGAACUGAGACACGGUCCAGACUCCUACGGGAGGCAGCAGUGGGGAAUAUUGGACAAUGGGCGAAAGCCUGAUCCAGCCAUGCCGCGUGUGUGAAGAAGGUCUUCGGAUUGUAAAGCACUUUAAGUUGGGAGGAAGGGCAGUAAGUUGAUACCUUGCUGUUUUGACGUUACCGACAGAAUAAGCACCGGCUAACUCUGUGCCAGCAGCCGCGGUAA
Molecule: ribosomal RNA, 500 nt
Filed under: uncultured bacterium
Lineage: Bacteria
Description: partial 16S ribosomal RNA
Rfam family: Bacterial small subunit ribosomal RNA
Source: RNAcentral